Molecule: ribosomal RNA, 207 nt
Filed under: uncultured bacterium
Lineage: Bacteria
Description: partial 16S ribosomal RNA
Rfam family: Bacterial small subunit ribosomal RNA
Source: RNAcentral
CGGAUUGCAGGCUGAAACUCGCCUGCAUGAAGUCGGAAUUGCUAGUAAUCGCGGAUCAGCAUGCCGCGGUGAAUACGUUCCCGGGCCUUGUACACACCGCCCGUCACACCAUGGGAGUCGGUAACACCCGAAGCCUGUAGUCUAACCGUGAGGAGGACGCAGUCGAAGGUGGGAUUGAUGACUGGGGUGAAGUCGUAACAAGGUACC